UACGUAGGUGGCAAGCGUUGUCCGGAAUUACUGGGCGUAAAGGGCGUGUAGGCGGGGGGACAAGUCAGAUGUGAAAUACCGCGGCUUAACUGCGGGGGUGCAUCUGAAACUGUUCUUCUUGAGUGUCGGAGAGGAAAGUGGAAUUCCCAGUGUAGCGGUGAAAUGCGUAGAGAUUGGGAGGAACACCAGUGGCGAAGGCGGCUUUCUGGACGAUAACUGACGCUGAGGCGCGAAAGCGUGGGGAGCAAACAGGAUUAGAUACC
Molecule: ribosomal RNA, 263 nt
Filed under: uncultured bacterium
Lineage: Bacteria
Description: partial 16S ribosomal RNA
Rfam family: Bacterial small subunit ribosomal RNA
Source: RNAcentral